This 551-nucleotide ribosomal RNA is filed under the name Metacrangonyx sp. 3 ssp. 1 MDMBR-2012. RNAcentral's name for it is "12S ribosomal RNA". The record is from RNAcentral. Lineage: Eukaryota; Metazoa; Arthropoda; Malacostraca; Amphipoda; Metacrangonyctidae.
CUAAAUUGCUGUUUAAGUAUUUUAUAAAAGACUUUAUAUUUAAAUUCUUUGUUCUUUUUUUUGUUGAUCUUUUUAUUUAUUAGAAGUCUAUAAUUUUCUUUUUUAGUGAAAUCUUUAAGAGAGCUCUUCAAAGAAAUGAUAAAUUUGGUGCCAGCAGUUGCGGUUAGACUAAAAUUUCUAAAAUAUUUAUUAAGAUUAAUAAUUUGUGGAAUAUGAGCUUAAAAAUUUUAGGUGAAAUUUCUUUUAUAGUUGUAUAAUAUUCUUUAUAUUUUUUAAAAAUAAGAUUUAUGGACUAGGAUUAGAUACCCUAUUACUCUUAAUUUACAAUUUCUUAGCUAAUUAUAUAUAAAAUUUAAAAAUUUGGCGGCUUUAUUAUUUAGAGGAACUUGUCUAUUAAAUUGAUAAACCUCAAUAUUUCCGAUUUUAAGUUUCAUUUUGUAUACCAUCAUUUAAAUAAUUUUUUAAUAAGUAAUUAUUUUAAGUGUCUUAAAAAAGUUAGAUCAAGGUGCAGAUAUACUUAAAAUUAGAUUAGUUACAAUAACGACGGGAGU